GAGAAGGGUGGAGCAGAAUGUCCCUCGUCCAUUAAAUAUCAACCCCAUGGCAGCCAUGAAAGGGGGAGAAAAUAAAAGAACAAUGAAAAAAAAAAACCUUUGCAUCUCCACCUUAACAUACGCCGCCACCACCUGAACCAACUCUAAUUAGCAACCACCAGCUCUGGUAAUAGUGGUCAAGGGCUUCCAUCAACCACAACAAUGUUUUCCUUUCCUCCAUUUAAGCAUCUACUCGUAAGCUUCCUACACCAGCAACUUCUUCUCCAGCAUCCAAAGCAACACCACCGUGGACUACAGUAGCUCUACCAUCACGCACCACCAUGCUACGACAGUAACUAGCCAAGCAACCCCUUUUCUCGGCCAGGUAAGCUUCUUCCCCUCCUCUUUAUCUACAUGCCAAUAACGUAAUUUGCGUUACUGGCAGCCUAGUCCAUUGGCUGACCUGGUCCAGCCCACAUCAUAUAUAAAAAGAGGGCCUGUUGAGCUGUCUGUCUCCUAACAAAUCAGGUUCAGCUAGGCUUCAACUCAACUCGUACCCGUAUGCAUGGUCUUGGACCAGUAGACUCAGUCUAUAUAGUUGGACUAAGCCCAACCUAAAAGCUAAGAGUGCAUUUAACUAGCAUCAAUUUUGUUAAGAAAAUAAGGCAUUGUUUGUUCCUUAAAACAUUUUUAAUGCUUCUGAUUUUAGACUAAAAACACAUUUAACAAACACAACCUAUGCUUUUUUCUUUAGUUUUAGUGUAUAUUUUGUGUUUAGCCAAACAAUCCUUAAAAUACUAAAAAAUUCUAAAUAAAUUUAGGAACUAUUUUAAAAUGAUUUGUGGGUCCCUCGCGUGUUUUUUCAACUUUUUUACCUAAUAUCGGUUUAUAGAAUUAUACUGUAAGAUACAGACCCGAUAUUAACAAUACCUAAUUUUU
Molecule: long non-coding RNA, 918 nt
Filed under: Populus trichocarpa (black cottonwood)
Lineage: Eukaryota; Viridiplantae; Streptophyta; Magnoliopsida; Malpighiales; Salicaceae
Description: long non-coding RNA (PTRI_LNC003982)
Source: RNAcentral